GUGCCAGCCGCCGCGGUAAUACCGGCAGCUCAAGUGAUGUCCCAUAUUAUUGGGCCUAAAGCGUCCGUAGCUGGCCGACCAAGUCUCCCGGGAAAUCCACCCGCCCAACGGGUGGGCGUCCGGUAGAAACUGGCCGGCCUGGAACCGGAAGGCUCAGAGAGUACGUCCGGGGUAGGAGUGAAAUCCCGUAAUCCCGGACGGACUACCGAUGGCGAAAGCACUCUGAGAAGACGGCUUCGACAGUGAGGGACGAAAGCUCGGGUCUCAAACCGGAUUAGAAACCCCAGUAGUCC
Molecule: ribosomal RNA, 293 nt
Filed under: uncultured bacterium
Lineage: Bacteria
Description: partial 16S ribosomal RNA
Rfam family: Archaeal small subunit ribosomal RNA
Source: RNAcentral